This 253-nucleotide ribosomal RNA is filed under the name uncultured bacterium. Its description in RNAcentral is "partial 16S ribosomal RNA". It matches the Rfam family "Bacterial small subunit ribosomal RNA", at positions 524 to 776 of the family's 1533-position model. The record is from RNAcentral.
GACGUAGGUGGCAAGCGUUGUCCGGAAUUACUGGGUGUAAAGGGCGUGUAGGCGGGACUUUAAGUCAGAUGUGAAAUACCCGAGCUUAACUCGGGAACUGCAUUUGAAACUGAGGUUCUUGAGUGAUGGAGAGGAAAGCGGAAUUCCUAGUGUAGCGGUGAAAUGCGUAGAUAUUAGGAGGAACACCAGUGGCGAAGGCGGCUUUCUGGACAUUAACUGACGCUGAGGCGCGAAAGCGUGGGGAGCAAACAGG